RNAcentral lists this ribosomal RNA (432 nucleotides) under uncultured bacterium. RNAcentral's name for it is "partial 16S ribosomal RNA". It matches the Rfam family "Bacterial small subunit ribosomal RNA", at positions 29 to 506 of the family's 1533-position model. The record is from RNAcentral.
AACGAACGCUGGCGGCAUGCCUAACACAUGCAAGUCGAACGAGACCUUCGGGUCUAGUGGCGCACGGGUGCGUAACGCGUGGGAACCUGCCCUUAGGUUCGGAAUAACUCCCCGAAAGGGGUGCUAAUACCGGAUAAUGUCUUCGGACCAAAGAUUUAUCGCCUUUGGAUGGGCCCGCGUUGGAUUAGCUAGUUGGUAGGGUAAAAGCCUACCAAGGCGACGAUCCAUAGCUGGUCUGAGAGGAUGAUCAGCCACACUGGGACUGAGACACGGCCCAGACCCCUACGGGGGGGGGGAGGGGGGAAAUUUGGACAAUGGGGGAAAAGCCGGUCCCACCAGGCCCGGGGGGGGGAUAAGGGCUUGGGGUUUUAAAGGCUUUUUUACCGGGAUUAUAAGUACGGUACCGGGAGAAUAGGCUCCGGCUAACUCCGU